CCUACGGGAGGCAGCAGUGAGGAAUAUUGGUCAAUGGACGAGAGUCUGAACCAGCCAAGUAGCGUGAAGGAUGACUGCCCUAUGGGUUGUAAACUUCUUUUAUAUGGGAAUAAAAUGUUCCACGUGUGGGAUUUUGUAUGUACCAUAUGAAUAAGGAUCGGCUAACUCCGUGCCCGCUGCCGCGGUAAUACGGAGGAUCCGAGCGUUAUCCGGAUUUAUUGGGUUUAAAGGGAGCGUAGGUGGGUUGUUAAGUCAGUUGUGAAAGUUUGCGGCUCAACCGGAAAAUUGCAGUUGAAACUGGCAGUCUGGAGUACAGUAGAGGUAGGCGGAAUUCGUGGUGUAGCGGUGAAAUGCUUAGAUAUCACGAAGAACUCCGAUUGCGAAGGCAGUUCACUGGACUGCAACUGACGCUGAGGCUCGAAAGUGUGGGUAUCAAACAGGAUUAGAUACCCGGGUAGUC
This 460-nucleotide ribosomal RNA is filed under the name uncultured bacterium. Its description in RNAcentral is "partial 16S ribosomal RNA". It matches the Rfam family "Bacterial small subunit ribosomal RNA", at positions 338 to 795 of the family's 1533-position model. The record is from RNAcentral.